GGAGGGUGCAAGCGUUAAUCGGAAUUACUGGGCGUAAAGCGCGCGUAGGCGGUUUAGUAAGUCGGAUGUGAAAGCCCUGGGCUCAACCUGGGAAUUGCAUUCGAUACUGCUGAACUAGAGUAUGGUAGAGGGAAGUGGAAUUUCCGGUGUAGCGGUGAAAUGCGUAGAUAUCGGAAGGAACACCAGUGGCGAAGGCGACUUCCUGGGCCAAUACUGACGCUGAGGUGCGAAAGCGUGGGGAGCAAACAGGGAUUAGAUACCCUGGUAGUCCACGCCGUAAACGAUGAGAACUAGAUGUUGGGAGGGUUACCUCUCGGUGUCGCAGCUAACGCGUUAAGUUCUCCGCCUGGGGAGUACGCCGGCAACGGUA
This 370-nucleotide ribosomal RNA is filed under the name uncultured organism. RNAcentral's name for it is "partial 16S ribosomal RNA". It matches the Rfam family "Bacterial small subunit ribosomal RNA", at positions 527 to 896 of the family's 1533-position model. The record is from RNAcentral.